RNAcentral lists this ribosomal RNA (566 nucleotides) under uncultured bacterium. RNAcentral's name for it is "bacterial SSU rRNA". It matches the Rfam family "Bacterial small subunit ribosomal RNA", at positions 98 to 687 of the family's 1533-position model. The record is from RNAcentral.
GCGUACGGGUGAGUAACACGUGGAUCAUCUACCCUCUAGUGGGGAAUACCGUUGGGAAACCGACGACAAUACCGCAUAAGCUCGAGAGAGGAAAGCAGCAAUGCGCUGGAGGAGGAGUCCGCUGGUCGAUUAGUUAGUUGGCAGGGUAAAAGCCUACCAAGACUGUGAUCGAUAGCCUGGCCUGAGAGGGCACACGGCCACACUGGCACUGAAACACGGGCCAGACUCCUACGGGAGGCAGCAGUGGGGAAUCUUGCACAAUGGAGGAAACUCUGAUGCAGCGACGCCGCGUGAGCGAUGACGCCCUUCGGGGUGUAAAGGCUCUUUCGGCAGGGAAAGAUAAUGACGGUACCUGCAGAAGCAGCUGCGGUUAACUACGUGCCAGCAGCCGCGGUAAUACUGUAGGCAGCAAGCGUUGUCGGAGUUACUGGGCGUAAAGGGUGCGUAGGCGGGCUUUUUAAGUUUGGUGUGAAAUCUCCCGGCUCAACUGGGAGGGUUGCGCCGAAUACUUGAAGAGGCUAGAGUGUGGGAGAGGAAAGUGGAAUUCCUUGGUGUAGCGGUGAAAU